RNAcentral lists this long non-coding RNA (1179 nucleotides) under Homo sapiens (human). RNAcentral's name for it is "long intergenic non-protein coding RNA 635". Lineage: Eukaryota; Metazoa; Chordata; Mammalia; Primates; Hominidae. The record is from RNAcentral.
UUAGUUCUGCUAAAGUCUCCUGUGUAUGAUCCUCAGAAAGACAUAUGAGGGUUUUCCUCAGAACCUAAAUUCUAAACUGCCAGACUGUCUUCUGAAGUGGCUAUAAUAUUUACACUCCCAUCAGCAGUGUAGAAGGGGUCUCACUAUGUUGUCUGGAGUGCUGUGGUGGAGUGGAGUGGCUAUUCACAGAGCCUGUUCUGCUGGGACACAGAAUCACUUGCUCCAUCUCAUACAUUGAUGAUGAUUAAUUUGUAUGUGUACCUUCCAAAAAAGAUGGUUGUGUUUGAAUGGAGGCCUUCUGGACAGGAAAAUAAUCACAUCCUUCCUGAGAUAAUGAGCACACAAUUGCCUGGAUACCUGAAGGAAUGGAGACAGCGGCAGAAAACACUGCAGAGAGGUGGAAACAUCCGUUAAUAUUUUAAAAUCCCAUUACUGCUACCAACAAUAAUAAUGGAUGCAUAGAAAUAGAUCUGGAUUAGCUGAGCUUGAAACAGUCCAUCUCACACACACACAAAAGAAUUUCAGAUACAGUGAACCCACAUGUUGAAGCUUUCUAGUAUAAUAAAAAUUUCAACUGUUCUGUUGAAUCAUCUGCCUGAUUGGAGGCUACAGAAAAGAUGUCAUCUUAGGAGUGCUUGCUCUGAGUGAGGCUCAUCUUCAAAUCUGAAUGACCACAAGGAGAUUUGAUUAUACAUGUGAACACCUCAGAAGGCACAGCCCACCCAGAAGGCAGACAGGUCAGGCUGCUUUUUCUUCAUUGCUUGGAUUCAAUCCUCCGGGCGGCUCAGGCUCAAACAUAACUUAAGCAUGAUUAAACUUUAGAAGAAGCUGCCAGGAAGACUGUGAAAUCUUCAUGCCCAAGGAUCCCUAAAAUUAGGAGCAACAACCACUUGGCUCAGACGGUUUAUGGAGGCAAAGGUUUGGAUGGGAUUAGAGAUUUCUAAAUGUGAGUUCGUGUCCUCUGCCAGACCACCUUACUUCCACCAUUCCUCAGCAAAUCAAGAAAAACAGGAGAAAAGACAUGCCUUUCCAUAAGUUAAAUCUAUUCUGUUUUAAUUCUAUAUUAUAUCUGCUGUACAACUUCUUUUGUUUGUAACACCAUAUUGUUGCUAGUAACUGGAAAUUAAUUUUCACAUGCCUCAGCUUAGAAAAAUAAAAAGCAGCCCUGCAUCAAUCCCA